This 2362-nucleotide long non-coding RNA is filed under the name Setaria italica (foxtail millet). RNAcentral's name for it is "long non-coding RNA (SITA_LNC003231)". Lineage: Eukaryota; Viridiplantae; Streptophyta; Magnoliopsida; Poales; Poaceae. The record is from RNAcentral.
AACACUGAAGAUAUUGAAGUGCCCAGAGUUCUCUCGAAUGAAAAAUAAAAGAGUAGUAGACCGGAUGGACUCACAAAGUAGGAUCAGGCUUAGCCUACUAGAAACAGAGGAGAGCGAGAAUUAAGUCGAAGCAGAGAGAGCAGUUUAUGAGCAUUUUAAGGCCUUCUGCAAUUAGUUAACUGAAGGAACAUCAGCCGACAUAACUGUAUCGAUUGCAGCAUAGUCGACAGCAAAGCGUGGUGUAUGUUGACAGAGUCAUUGAAUCCUCUUCUGCCCAAUUUCUUCCUUUUCCUUGAAGCAGUUCAUCUUCGCAAAGUUUAUGGCAUUUUCAGAAAGGUGCAAAUUAAACAUCGCACAUCUGCUAGAAAAUGGCAUGCAUUUCUUCAGAGGGAGGUUAGUCCCCCAAGCCAUAAGUACUAAUGAAUGUACCGUCUAUAGACACCACAUUCUCAACAACAUGUCAAAUUCUCGACUCCUAGCUUAGCAGUCCUAAUUAAUUUCAAAUCUCAAGAUGACAUGUCAAGUUCGAUGCUACUCCCUCCGUUCCAAAUUGUUGGUCGUUUUAGAUUUUCUAGAUUCAUAGAUAUUAUUAUGCAUCUAAAUAUAGUAUGUACAAUUUGGAUGCAUAAUAAUAUCUAUGAACCUAGAAAAGUCAAAAUGACGUACAAUUUGAAACGGGGGGAGUACAUAGAUGUACAUGCAGCCCGUAGCCCGAUAGCCCGGCACGAAGCCCUUUUUUUGACCCGCACAUAGCCCGGCCCGGCCCAUCACCCUUCGGGCUCGUGCUGGCCCGGCCCGCUAGCUCGUGUCGGGCAUGGGCUGCUGCCUCGGCCCGACGGGCAGCACGGCCCGGCACGAAAUCGAGCAUUCGGCCCGUUGCCGCCCUGUCAAGCCAGCCAACCCUAUCUCCCAAUCUCCCGACUCCCGAUCUCUAUCGCCUCCCAGUAGUCCACCACGCCGCCGCCAUCUCCCUAGUCCCUAUCGCCUCCCCGGCUCCCCUCCGACCUCCCCUCCACUUGCUCCGACUGCCGCCUCCCUCUCUAUUGCCAUCUCCGGCGGGCGACGCUCCCUCCCUCCCUCCCUCCCUCACGGCCUCCUCCAGCGCCGCCUCCCUCCCUUAUGACCUCCACCGCCGUCGGCGCCGCCUCCUCCCUCUCGGCCUCCUCCACCGCCGCGGUGGCGCGGGGAGUGGGAGCGGCGGUGUGGAGGUCCGACGGUGUCGCGGGGCGGCUGCGGGGUGCGGCAGCGACGACAACGACGAGGGGGCUGGCUGCGGGGUGCGGCGGCGACGACAACGACGAGAGGGCCGGCCGCGGCGCGGGCAGCGGAAGAAGCGGCGACGCAGGGGGCCGGCGUCGGGGAGGUCCGGCGGUGGUGCAGGGGGCCGGCUGCAAGGAGCGGCGACGACGGCGGCGAGGGGUCCGACAGCGGCCUGCGGCUGCGGGGAGCGGCAGCAGCGUGGGGGCCCGUGUGCCUUGUUGGGCCCGAUUUCAGCCGUGCUCUACGGGUCGGCCCGGCACGAAAAAGGCCUUUCGAGCCCGUGCUUGGGUCGCCGGUGAGGCCCGUGGGCGGGCACGGCCCGGCACAAUGAAGUCAUCAUGACGGGCCAGGCCCGGCACAAAAUUUAACGGGUCUUGUCGGGCCCGGGCCGAACUGGGCCGGGCGGCCCGAAUGGACAUCUAUAGGGAGUAUACGUCUCCUGUGUUUGUUUCAGGCAACUCCCAGGAUUAGCAAGCAAGAUGCGAGGCAGAUACUUGCUACUAGCUGGUCGUGGUUCACUGGGAAACAUUAUAAUUCAUCUACUCCAUAACAGUAGGGAACUCUUGCAGUUUGGUUUAGGAAAAUUUAGUCCAACUGAAGUUCAUAUUGCUAGAAUUGACCAAAACCAUAGACAGCUUCCCACUCCAGUUCAAUCUGUUUCAGACUUUAAUCCUUAGUUAUUUACAGAGUGGGCGUACAAAUCGCUUGCCAAAGUUACUGUAUUUAAGCAGUGCUGUCUGCUGCCAAGGUCACAAAAGGAGAUCAUACAUGACAGUGUUUCUUCAAAACCCUGACCCAUUGGUGGGAGAUCAUAUACACGGAUCUUAAGCAGUGCUGUCUGCUGCCAAAGAAAUCUGACUAGAUAAAUAUCAGCAGGUAUGUACACCAUCUUAGAUUCUUAGUGUACUUCAUCAGAUUGGAUGCCAUCUGAUCCAAGAACUAUUAUACAGGCGUUCAGAGUACUUUACAGAAGCAGUCAACAGAUUGGUUGUUCAGGAUCCAAAUGCUCUUCUCUUCCAUUCCCGGAGAAAGCUAAUCUAAUCUAAACUCUACUAAACUCUACCAAGUUAGCUACAGCAUGUGAGUGGUUAAGUGGUUUCUU